GUGGGGAAUAUUGGACAAUGGGGGGAACCCUGAUCCAGCCAUGCCGCGUGUGUGAAGAAGGCCUUUUGGUUGUAAAGCACUUUAAGCGAGGAGGAGGCUACCGAGAUUAAUACUCUUGGAUAGUGGACGUUACUCGCAGAAUAAGCACCGGCUAACUCUGUGCCAGCAGCCGCGGUAAUACAGAGGGUGCAAGCGUUAAUCGGAUUUACUGGGCGUAAAGCGCGCGUAGGUGGCCAAUUAAGUCAAAUGUGAAAUCCCCGAGCUUAACUUGGGAAUUGCAUUCGAUACUGGUUGGCUAGAGUAUGGGAGAGGAUGGUAGAAAUCCAGGUGUAGCGGUGAAAUGCGUAGAGAUCUGGAGGAAUACCGAUGGCGAAGGCAGCCAUCUGGCCUAAUACUGACACUGAGGUGCGAAAGCAUGGGGAGCAAACAGGAUUAGAAACCCUAGUAGUCC
RNAcentral lists this ribosomal RNA (451 nucleotides) under uncultured bacterium. Its description in RNAcentral is "partial 16S ribosomal RNA". It matches the Rfam family "Bacterial small subunit ribosomal RNA", at positions 354 to 796 of the family's 1533-position model. The record is from RNAcentral.